UAAAACCCCAGACAGCUCAUCUCUAAGAUGGGUGCAGAGAGGGAUGAGAUGUACAAGGGAUUCUCAGGGAAAAAUCGAAGGGUUGGCCCAGCAUACAGUGUCUGUCUUGCCAGAUCAUCACCUGCACGUGUGAAGAAGAGGAGGGUCCUCAGCGUUAUGAGGAUGUAUAAGAUGACUCACUCACCAAUGAAUAUACAUACACGGAAAUGACAGAGCUCUAACCUCGCAUCUCUGUCUGAACAACGAAUACACUGGAGCGUGAUUCAGGAAGGAGUGUUACCACGUUUCUGUAAACGCCAGUUAAAACUGUCACAAUGUUUCCUGAUGAGGUUUCUAUUUAUCUUACCAUCUAGAAGUUAUGCGAAAAAUGGAUUGUGGAUUAAAGACAAGGCAGUUCUGAGCCCAACUUUAAUACAACUUUGUGGCACAAAUCGAAGUGGCACAGUAGCCUACAAGGCCUAAACCCUCUUCAAAGAUGAGGGUGAAUACUUGCCUAGCCCUAAGUUUGGUCCCCAGCACUAUGAAUAAAUUAAAAACUAAACAACAACAACAACAGGUUUCAAAAGAUAAUGGAAGAAGGAACUCAGAAACCCUAACGACAGUUUUCAUGAAGCGGAGCGGCAGAAGGUUUCUUCGCCAGGCCCGCUCCCCAAAGGAAGAACGCUCACAGCCAGGCCUUGGAGAUGAGAGAUGAGAUGCGUAAUGAAGAGCUGUUUGUUUUCUAGAGAUCUACAAGUCAAUUUGGGAUACUUCAUCAGCCAAGUUUCUAUCUCUGUACUAGGCAACCAUUACAUGUUUACAAUUUGAAUAAAAAGUCCAUCCUUGCUUUCCA
Mastomys coucha (southern multimammate mouse) is the source of this 832-nucleotide long non-coding RNA. RefSeq lists it as uncharacterized. NCBI's taxonomy places the organism in Eukaryota, Metazoa, Chordata, Mammalia, Rodentia, Muridae. The transcript is spliced from 4 exons. The record is from RefSeq and is a predicted model, not a curated record.